This 1434-nucleotide ribosomal RNA is filed under the name uncultured organism. RNAcentral describes it as "SSU rRNA". It matches the Rfam family "Bacterial small subunit ribosomal RNA". The record is from RNAcentral.
UUGAUGAACGCUAGCUACAGGCUUAACACAUGCAAGUCGAGGGGCAGCAUUUUAGUUUGCUUGCAAACUGAAGAUGGCGACCGGCGCACGGGUGAGUAACACGUAUCCAACCUGCCGAUAACUCCGGGAUAGCCUUUCGAAAGAAAGAUUAAUACCGGAUAGCAUACGAAUAUCGCAUGAUAUUUUUAUUAAAGAAUUUCGGUUAUCGAUGGGGAUGCGUUCCAUUAGUUUGUUGGCGGGGUAACGGCCCACCAAGACUACGAUGGAUAGGGGUUCUGAGAGGAAGGUCCCCCACAUUGGAACUGAGACACGGUCCAAACUCCUACGGGAGGCAGCAGUGAGGAAUAUUGGUCAAUGGGCGCGAGCCUGAACCAGCCAAGUAGCGUGAAGGAUGAAGGCUCUAUGGGUCGUAAACUUCUUUUAUAUGGGAAUAAAGUUUUCCACGUGUGGAAUUUUGUAUGUACCAUAUGAAUAAGGAUCGGCUAACUCCGUGCCAGCAGCCGCGGUAAUACGGAGGAUCCGAGCGUUAUCCGGAUUUAUUGGGUUUAAAGGGAGCGUAGGUGGAUUGUUAAGUCAGUUGUGAAAGUUUGCGGCUCAACCGUAAAAUUGCAGUUGAAACUGGCAGUCUUGAGUACAGUAGAGGUGGGCGGAAUUCGUGGUGUAGCGGUGAAAUGCUUAGAUAUCACGAAGAACUCCGAUUGCGAAGGCAGCUCACUAGACUGUCACUGACACUGAUGCUCGAAAGUGUGGGUAUCAAACAGGAUUAGAUACCCUGGUAGUCCACACAGUAAACGAUGAAUACUCGCUGUUUGCGAUAUACAGUAAGCGGCCAAGCGAAAGCAUUAAGUAUUCCACCUGGGGAGUACGCCGGCAACGGUGAAACUCAAAGGAAUUGACGGGGGCCCGCACAAGCGGAGGAACAUGUGGUUUAAUUCGAUGAUACGCGAGGAACCUUACCCGGGCUUAAAUUGCAACAGAAUAUAUUGGAAACAGUAUAGCCGUAAGGCUGUUGUGAAGGUGCUGCAUGGUUGUCGUCAGCUCGUGCCGUGAGGUGUCGGCUUAAGUGCCAUAACGAGCGCAACCCUUAUCUUUAGUUACUAACAGGUUAUGCUGAGGACUCUAGAGAGACUGCCGUCGUAAGAUGUGAGGAAGGUGGGGAUGACGUCAAAUCAGCACGGCCCUUACGUCCGGGGCUACACACGUGUUACAAUGGGGGGUACAGAAGGCGGCUACCUGGUGACAGGAUGCUAAUCCCAAAAACCUCUCUCAGUUCGGAUCGAAGUCUGCAACCCGACUUCGUGAAGCUGGAUUCGCUAGUAAUCGCGCAUCAGCCAUGGCGCGGUGAAUACGUUCCCGGGCCUUGUACACACCGCCCGUCAAGCCAUGAAAGCCGGGGGUACCUGAAGUACGUAACCGCAAGGAGCGUCCUAGGGU